AGGAGGUAAUGCAAAGUUCAACAGAGAUGGCCUGAAUUCAGCCUUAGUUUGUUCUAUCUUCAAUGAAUAUUAACUGGGUAGUUUAAACUCAGGGCUUAGUGAGCAGUACCCAAAGGAUUAAAGUUAAGCUAUAUACAAAUCCUCUCUAUUACAGUAUUUGUUUAAAAAUGCAUUUUGACAUCACAUUAUUACAAGCACAGAUCUGAAUGUUUUAUAAGCACC
Non-coding RNA from Pelobates cultripes (western spadefoot toad), 222 nucleotides. The record is from the annotation of a GenBank genome assembly. Lineage: Eukaryota; Metazoa; Chordata; Amphibia; Anura; Pelobatidae.